AAGUAUGGAAAAUCAAUCUGAAACAAAUGGAGCAAGAUUUUCUCCAAAAAAACUACGAGUAAAAUGUUUUGUUGUGUCUAUGGUUGCAAAAGUAAAGCGUUUAACAAUCCGGGCGUUCGUUUCCACUAUUUUCCAAAACCAAAUAGUUACUAUGUAAAAAUACAAAAUUAUUUCGGUAAUUCGGUAAAGUCGAUUGCCAUAAAAAAUGGCAAGAAGUUUUAAAAAUUGGGGAAACAGUAAUUCAGCACAUGCAAGUUUGUUAGUUACAUUUUAAAAGAAGUGACUAUGUUCCACCUGGUUUCAAAUUCUUGAAGAAAGAUGCCAUACCUUCCUGUAAUUUGCCUUCAUGUAAUAUAAAAGAGCCUUCAGAUGACCAGAAACGAAUUAGUAGAAGUAUGAUUAAGAUUAAGAUUAAAUAGAGAAAAAAAUCGUACUGAAGCUAAUAUAAACCAACAAAAUGGAAAUUGUGGUAACCUAAACGAUGAAGAAAAUAUUUUAACAAGUUCUGACCUUCCAAUGGCAGAAAAUAAUGAUAUAAACUCUCUCAGCGUAACUCAUAUCGAUUAUUUAUAUUAUUUAAUAUGCCACAAUAUAUUAAAUGACCAGCAUUCACAACUUUCUCUCCUUCAACGAAAUUACGGCUUUUUAUUGAUGAGUUCAAGAACUCCAAAAUUUCACUC
Long non-coding RNA from Agrilus planipennis (emerald ash borer), 680 nucleotides. RefSeq lists it as uncharacterized. The transcript has 2 exons. The record is from RefSeq and is a predicted model, not a curated record. Lineage: Eukaryota; Metazoa; Arthropoda; Insecta; Coleoptera; Buprestidae.